AUUGGGCGUAAAGCGAGCGCAGACGGUUAUUUAAGUCUGAAGUGAAAGCCCUCAGCUCAACUGAGGAAUGGCUUUGGAAACUGGAUGACUUGAGUGCAGUAGAGGAAAGUGGAACUCCAUGUGUAGCGGUGAAAUGCGUAGAUAUAUGGAAGAACACCAGUGGCGAAGGCGGCUUUCUGGACUGUAACUGACGUUGAGGCUCGAAAGUGUGGGUAGCAAACAGGAUUAGAUACCCUGGUAGUCCACACCGUAAACGAUGAGUGCUAGGUGUUUGAGGGUUUCCGCCCUUAAGUGCCGCAGCUAACGCAUUAAGCACUCCGCCUGGGGAGUACGACCGCAA
RNAcentral lists this ribosomal RNA (340 nucleotides) under uncultured bacterium. RNAcentral's name for it is "SSU rRNA". It matches the Rfam family "Bacterial small subunit ribosomal RNA", at positions 553 to 891 of the family's 1533-position model. The record is from RNAcentral.